This 72-nucleotide transfer RNA is filed under the name Camelus bactrianus (Bactrian camel). It matches the Rfam family "tRNA". From Rfam's summary of the family: Transfer RNA (tRNA) molecules are approximately 80 nucleotides in length. The record is from Rfam by way of RNAcentral. Lineage: Eukaryota; Metazoa; Chordata; Mammalia; Artiodactyla; Camelidae. RNAcentral also lists the same sequence under 2 other names.
GAGGGUGCAGCUCAGUGGCAGAGCAUGUGUUUGGUGUGCACGAGGUCCUGGGUUCAGUCCCCAGUGCCUCCG